Molecule: long non-coding RNA, 518 nt
Filed under: Equus caballus (horse)
Lineage: Eukaryota; Metazoa; Chordata; Mammalia; Perissodactyla; Equidae
Description: lncRNA (ENSECAG00000033069.2)
Source: RNAcentral
GACAACCAGCCCUCCAAGCCAGGACUGCUUCUGACUAGUUUUUGAGAAAAAGUCUUGGUCUCGGGUUCACUCAGAGAGGACAGCCAUGCCCAACUUAUUCUCAAUAGAAAACUGAAACAGAGAGAGAAUGAGAAACACAUCCAUCUUCUUUCUACCCACCUACCAUAUGUGGACUUCUUGCAUUGGUGAGUGUGAAAGAAGGAAGCAGAAAGCCUUGAUGAUGGUCAUAUUUUCAUUCAUCCAUAAUGCAGCCUUUGCGCAAGUUGAAAGACCGUUGAGAACAGGAAUGUUAUCUCACCCUUCACAGCCCAAACAAAGCCUAGCACUGGAUCUUGCCAGAGGUGAUAAUUUCCUAGGAGUCAUUGAACAGAGAGUACUGAGGAUGGAGGAGUAAAUUGGAGAAAGCAACCGUCAUUGAGAGAGCGGAGCCCCCAGCAAUGCUCAUCAACUCCUUUGUCUCCCAUUUGUUUUGUCCACAAAACGCAGCUCUGAACUGUAUCAGGGACAAUUGCAUAGGC